Molecule: ribosomal RNA, 506 nt
Filed under: uncultured Bacillus sp.
Lineage: Bacteria; Bacillati; Bacillota; Bacilli; Caryophanales; Bacillaceae
Description: bacterial SSU rRNA
Rfam family: Bacterial small subunit ribosomal RNA
Source: RNAcentral
GUCCGUGCACGAGACACGCUGGCGGCGUGCCUAAUACAUGCAAGUCGAGCGGAUUGAUGGGAGCUUGCUCCCUGAUAUCAGCGGCGGACGGGUGAGUAACACGUGGGCAACCUGCCUAUAAGACUGGGAUAACUUCGGGAAACCGGAGCUAAUACCGGAUAAUCCCUUUCCUCUCAUGAGGAAAGGCUGAAAGAUGGUUUACGCUAUCACUUAUAGAUGGGCCCGCGGCGCAUUAGCUAGUUGGUGAGGUAACGGCUCACCAAGGCAACGAUGCGUAGCCGACCUGAGAGGGUGAUCGGCCACACUGGGACUGAGACACGGCCCAGACUCCUACGGGAGGCAGCAGUAGGGAAUCUUCCGCAAUGGACGAAAGUCUGACGGAGCAACGCCGCGUGAGUGAUGAAGGUUUUCGGAUCGUAAAACUCUGUUGUUAGGGAAGAACAAGUACGAGAGUAAUUGCUCGUACCUUGACGGUACCUAACCAGAAAGCCACGGCUAACUACGUG